UAGCCGUAAACGAUACUCGCUAGGUGUCGGCCACGGUGCGACCGUUGUCGGUGCCGUAGGGAAGCCGUGAAGCGAGCCACCUGGGAAGUACGGCCGCAAGGCUGAAACUUAAAGGAAUUGGCGGGGGAGCACAGCAACGGGUGGAGCUUGCGGUUUAAUUGGAUUCAACGCCGGAAAUCUUACCGGGACCGACAGCAACAUGAAGGCCAAGCUGAAGACUUUGCCGGAUUAGCUGAGAGGAGGUGCAUGGCGUAGUCGUGU
This 261-nucleotide ribosomal RNA is filed under the name uncultured archaeon. RNAcentral describes it as "partial 16S ribosomal RNA". It matches the Rfam family "Archaeal small subunit ribosomal RNA", at positions 748 to 1009 of the family's 1478-position model. The record is from RNAcentral.